AUGGGGGAUUUGAAUGACAUCUUGUAUGAUAUUGAUGGUUGUAAUGGCAAUGUGAAUUACUAUCGUAUGCAUGCUUUUCGUUCUCUUGUGAAAAAUUGUGGCUUGUUUGAUAUAGGUUAUAGUGGUCCUGCCUAUACUUGGCGUGGUAGACAACACACUUCCAAUCCUAUUUAUAGAUGCCUCGAUCGUUGUUUAGUUAACUCGGAUUGGUGCACGCACUAUCCUACUACCAAAGUUCUUAAUUUGCCUAUUAUCCUGAGUGAUCAUGCCCCCAUUCUAGUGUCUACUGAAGGUAAUUUUGUCAAGCCUCGACAAACUUUCAAAUUUGAAAAU
Molecule: ribosomal RNA, 333 nt
Filed under: Triticum aestivum (bread wheat)
Lineage: Eukaryota; Viridiplantae; Streptophyta; Magnoliopsida; Poales; Poaceae
Description: partial small subunit ribosomal RNA
Source: RNAcentral